GGCCCAGUGGUCUAGUGGUAGUACGUCAAAUGUUCACACCUCACGAGAAUCAUAACUAACAGUUCCUGCAUGGAUUUGUGAUUCGGGAGAAAUCCCUUCUCUUUCAAAGACAAUUUACAAGGUCCCGGGUUCAAAUCCCGGCUGGGCCC
RNAcentral lists this transfer RNA (149 nucleotides) under Fusarium vanettenii 77-13-4. Its description in RNAcentral is "tRNA-Und (NNN) (tRNA-Und-NNN-3-1)". It matches the Rfam family "tRNA". From Rfam's summary of the family: Transfer RNA (tRNA) molecules are approximately 80 nucleotides in length. Their secondary structure includes four short double-helical elements and three loops (D, anti-codon, and T loops). The record is from RNAcentral. Lineage: Eukaryota; Fungi; Ascomycota; Sordariomycetes; Hypocreales; Nectriaceae.